CAGUAGCCGCGGGAAUACAGAGGGUGCGAGCGUUAAUCGGAUUUACUGGGCGUAAAGCGUGCGUAGGCGGCUAAUUGAGUCGGAUGUGAAAUCCCCGAGCUUAACUUGGGAAUUGCAUUCGAUACUGGUUAGCUAGAGUGUGGGAGAGGAUGGUAGAAUUCCAGGUGUAGCGGUGAAAUGCGUAGAGAUCUGGAGGAAUACCGAUGGCGAAGGCAGCCAUCUGGCCUAAUACUGACGCUGAGGUACGAAAGCAUGGGGAGCAAACAGGAUUAGAAACCCGUGUAGUCCCUGUCUCUUAUAC
RNAcentral lists this ribosomal RNA (301 nucleotides) under uncultured bacterium. RNAcentral describes it as "partial 16S ribosomal RNA". It matches the Rfam family "Bacterial small subunit ribosomal RNA", at positions 509 to 807 of the family's 1533-position model. The record is from RNAcentral.